This 501-nucleotide ribosomal RNA is filed under the name uncultured bacterium. RNAcentral describes it as "partial 16S ribosomal RNA". It matches the Rfam family "Bacterial small subunit ribosomal RNA", at positions 30 to 523 of the family's 1533-position model. The record is from RNAcentral.
AUUGAACGCUGGCGGCAGGCUUAACGCAUGCAAGUCGAGCGGAGCGAGGGUGCUUGCACCUUAGCUUAGCGGCGGACGGGUGAGUAAUGCUUAGGAAUCUGCCUAUUAGUGGGGGACAACAUUCCGAAAGGGAUGCUAAUACCGCAUACGCCCUACGGGGGAAAGCAGGGGAUCUUCGGACCUUCCGCUAAUAGAUGAGCCUAAGGCGGAUUAGCCAGUUGGUGGGGUAAAGGCCUACCAAGGCGACGAUCUGUAGCGGGUCUGAGAGGAUGAUCCGCCACACUGGGACUGAGACACGGCCCAGACUCCUACGGGAGGCAGCAGUGGGGAAUAUUGGACAAUGGGCGGAAGCCUGAUCCAGCCAUGCCGCGUGUGUGAAGAAGGCCUUUUGGUUGUAAAGCACUUUAAGCGAGGAGGAGGCUACUAGUAUUAAUACUACUGGAUAGUGGACGUUACUCGCAGAAUAAGCACCGGCUAACUCUGUGCCAGCCGCCGCCGUAA